AUUGAACGCUGGCGGCAUGCCUUACACAUGCAAGUCGAACGGUAACAGGUCUUCGGAUGCUGACGAGUGGCGAACGGGUGGGUAAUACAUCGGAACGUGCCUAGUAGUGGGGGAUAACUACUCGAAAGAGUGGCUAAUACCGCAUGAGAUCUACGGAUGAAAGCAGGGGAUCGCAAGACCUUGUGCUACUAGAGCGGCCGAUGGCAGAUUAGGUAGUUGGGGGGAUAAAAGCUUACCAAGCCGACGAUCUGUAGCUGGUCUGAGAGGACGAUCGGCCACACUGGGACUGAGACACGGCCCAGACUCCUACGGGAGGCAGCAGUGGGGAAUUUUGGACAAUGGGCGCAAGCCUGAUCCAGCAAUGCCGCGUGCAGGAUGAAGGCCUUCGGGUUGUAAACUGCUUUUGUACGGAACGAAAAGCCCUGGGUUAAUACCCUGGGGUCAUGACGGUACCGUAAGAGUAAGCACCGGCUAACUACGAGCCAGCCGCCGCAGUAA
Molecule: ribosomal RNA, 498 nt
Filed under: uncultured bacterium
Lineage: Bacteria
Description: partial 16S ribosomal RNA
Rfam family: Bacterial small subunit ribosomal RNA
Source: RNAcentral